Molecule: unclassified non-coding RNA, 105 nt
Organism: Gorilla gorilla gorilla (western lowland gorilla)
Lineage: Eukaryota; Metazoa; Chordata; Mammalia; Primates; Hominidae
Rfam family: Y RNA
About the family: Y RNAs are components of the Ro ribonucleoprotein particle (Ro RNP), in association with Ro60 and La proteins. The Y RNAs and Ro60 and La proteins are well conserved, but the function of the Ro RNP is not known.
Source: Ensembl
GGUUGGUCUGCAGGUAGAGUUAUCUCAAUUGAUUGUUUAUGGUUACAGACUGAACCCUUGUUCUACUCUUUCCCCCUUCUCACUACUGCACUUGACCAGUCUUAU